This 496-nucleotide ribosomal RNA is filed under the name uncultured bacterium. Its description in RNAcentral is "partial 16S ribosomal RNA". It matches the Rfam family "Bacterial small subunit ribosomal RNA", at positions 29 to 507 of the family's 1533-position model. The record is from RNAcentral.
AUGAACGCUGGCGGCUUGCCUAAUACAUGCAAGUCGAGCGAACAGACGAGGAGCUUGCUCCUCUGACGUUAGCGGCGGACGGGUGAGUAACACGUGGUUAACCUACCUAUAAGCCUGGGAUAACUUCGGGAAACCGGAGCUAAUACCGGAUAAUAUAUUGAACCGCCUGGUUCAAUAGUGAAAGACGGUUUUGCUGUCACUUAUAGAUGGAUCCGCGCCGCAUUAGCUAGUUGGUAAGGUAACGGCUUACCAAGGCAACGAUGCGUAGCCGACCUGAGAGGGUGAUCGGCCACACUGGAACUGAGACACGGUCCAGACUCCUACGGGAGGCAGCAGUAGGGAAUCUUCCGCAAUGGGCGAAAGCCUGACGGAGCAACGCCGCGUGAGUGAUGAAGGUCUUCGGAUCGUAAAACUCUGUUAUUAGGGAAGAACAAAUGUGUAAGUAACUAUGCACGUCUUGACGGUACCUAAUCAGAAAGCCACGGCUAACUACGUG